GACGAACGCUGGCGGCGUGCCUAAUACAUGCAAGUUGAGCGCUGAAGGUUGGUACUUGUACCAACUGGAUGAGCAGCGAACGGGUGAGUAACGCGUGGGGAAUCUGCCUUUGAGCGGGGGACAACAUUUGGAAACGAAUGCUAAUACCGCAUAAAAACUUUAAACACAAGUUUUAAGUUUGAAAGAUGCAAUUGCAUCACUCAAAGAUGAUCCCGCGUUGUAUUAGCUAGUUGGUGAGGUAAAGGCUCACCAAGGCGAUGAUACAUAGCCGACCUGAGAGGGUGAUCGGCCACAUUGGGACUGCGACACGGCCCAAACUCCUACGGGAGGCAGCAGUAGGGAAUCUUCGGCAAUGGACGAAAGUCUGACCGAGCAACGCCGCGUGAGUGAAGAAGGUUUUCGGCUCGUAAAACUCUGUUGGUAGAGAAGAACGUUGGUGAGAGUGGAAAGCUCAUCAAGUGACGGUAACUACACAGAAAGGGACGGCUAACUACGUG
This 497-nucleotide ribosomal RNA is filed under the name uncultured bacterium. Its description in RNAcentral is "partial 16S ribosomal RNA". It matches the Rfam family "Bacterial small subunit ribosomal RNA", at positions 28 to 507 of the family's 1533-position model. The record is from RNAcentral.